AACGAACGCUGGCGGCAGGCCUAACACAUGCAAGUCGAACGAAGUCUUCGGACUUAGUGGCGCACGGGUGAGUAACACGUGGGAAUAUACCUUACGCUGGGGGAUAACAUCGGGAAACUGAUGCUAAUACCGCAUACGCCCUUCGGGGGAAAGAUUUAUCGGCGAAAGAUUAGCCCGCGUCCGAUUAGCUAGUUGGUGAGGUAAUGGCUCACCAAGGCUCCGAUCGGUAGCUGGUCUGAGAGGAUGACCAGCCACACUGGGACUGAGACACGGCCCAGACUCCUACGGGAGGCAGCAGUGGGGAAUAUUGGACAAUGGGCGCAAGCCUGAUCCAGCCAUGCCGCGUGAGUGAUGAAGGCCUUAGGGUUGUAAAGCUCUUUCACCCACGACGAUGAUGACGGUAGUGUGAGAAGAAGCCCCGGCUAACUACGUG
This 433-nucleotide ribosomal RNA is filed under the name uncultured bacterium. Its description in RNAcentral is "partial 16S ribosomal RNA". It matches the Rfam family "Bacterial small subunit ribosomal RNA", at positions 29 to 507 of the family's 1533-position model. The record is from RNAcentral.